Molecule: ribosomal RNA, 497 nt
Filed under: uncultured bacterium
Lineage: Bacteria
Description: partial 16S ribosomal RNA
Rfam family: Bacterial small subunit ribosomal RNA
Source: RNAcentral
GAUGAACGCUGGCGGCGUGCCUAAUACAUGCAAGUCGAGCGAACAGACGAGGAGCUUGCUCCUCUGACGUUAGCGGCGGACGGGUGGGUAACACGUGGAUAACCUACCUAUAAGACUGGGAUAACUUCGGGAAACCGGAGCUAAUACCGGAUAAUAUAUUGAACCGCAUGGUUCAAUAGUGAAAGACGGUUUUGCUGUCACUUAUAGAUGGAUCCGCGCCGCAUUAGCUAGUUGGUAAGGUAACGGCUUACCAAGUCGACGAUGCGUAGCCGACCUGAGAGGGUGAUCGGCGACACUGGAACUGAGACACGGUCCAGACUCCUACGGGAGGCAGCAGUAGGGAAUCUUCCGCAAUGGGCGAAAGCCUGACGGAGCAACGCCGCGUGAGUGAUGAAGGUCUUCGGAUCGUAAAACUCUGUUAUUAGGGAAGAACAAAUGUGUAAGUAACUAUGCACGUCUUGACGGUACCUAAUCAGAAAGCCACGGCUAACUACGUG